UUUUGACCUCGGAUCAAGUAGGGAUACCCGCUGAACUUAAGCAUAUCAAAA
Molecule: ribosomal RNA, 51 nt
Filed under: Nodulosphaeria multiseptata
Lineage: Eukaryota; Fungi; Ascomycota; Dothideomycetes; Pleosporales; Phaeosphaeriaceae
Description: partial 28S ribosomal RNA
Source: RNAcentral